CCGACGCGCGCGCGGGGCUGCUUUCACAGGUGGUGGAGGAACCGCGUAAAAGGUGCCUUCAGGGUCGGAAGACGGUCGUCGCCCUCCGUUCAGCACUCACUCAAUAUUGUGCACGGAGCACUGGGCUCCCAGAUGAAUGAGACCCGCCGUGCUCUCUGGGGUUCAGUCUGAGAAGACUUUCAAAGUUGGGAAGUUAGCUCUGUGAGCUGAGGAGGGCUCGGCUCAGACCGCCGUGGGCGUGCGGAGCGGCAGCCGCCGAGGCGGUUUCAGGAGGGGCUCUGUGCGGUCCGCUUGGAGGGAGGUCCCGGGGAGGAAGCGCCGAUUGAUUACUCACGGGAGAUGAAUGCGUUUUUGUUCAAAGCUUGACUCUUUUCUAAUAGAUAAGUAACUUUACCGAGUGCUAACUAACUAAACUGCUCGAUUAUCUCAGCUGGUUUUCGUAAUAAUCCUGUAUUUAGGUAUUAUAAUUAUGCCCUUUUUACAGACAAGGAAACUGAGGAAUGGAUCGCACAGCUAGCGAGCGAGGUAAGAGCUGGCAUCUGGAAGUCCGCCGCAGAGACCACGCGCAUAAUCACUGUGCCGUGGGCACGUUUUGUCCACGGGAUGACUCCAGACCUUACAUCCUGCUGCUUCCUUGGCAUGGACACUCGGAUGUCUGAUAAAUAGGCCUCUCAGAACACAGCCUUUCCUCCGCCAACCUGCUCUUCCCCUGCUCAAUGCGUCUAGAAUCAGAUCACUUCUUAUCACCUCCAGUGAUGCCAUCAUUAUCACUGACCCACAAGAGCACAGCAGUCUCCCUGAUUCUGCCAUUGGCCCCUCCAGCCUGGUCUCAACACACCAGCCAGGACGUCAAAGAACAAACGUUUUUAAUUUUGAUGAAGUCCAAUAUAUUGAUUGAUUUCUUUUGUAGUUUGUGCUUUUUAUGCCCUAUUUUUAAGAUCUUUGCCCAACUCAAAGACGUUAAGAUUUUCUCCUGUUUUCUUCCAGAAGUUUAAUAGUUAUAGCUCUUGCAUUUAGAUCUAUGAUUCAUUUUGAGUUAAUUUUUUUUUAAAGAUUUUUUUUUUUCCCUUUUCUCCCCAAAGCCCCCAGUACAUAGUUGUAUGUUCUUCAUUGUGGGUCCUUCUAGUUGUGGCAUGUGGGAUGCCGCCUCAGCGUGGCUUGAUGAGCAGUGCCAUGUCCACGCCCAGGAUUCGAACCAACAAAACACUGGGCCGCCUGCAGCAGAGCGCGAACUUAACCACUCAGCCACAGGGCCAGCCCCUUUUUUGAGUUAAUUUUUGUGUAUGAUGUGAGGUACGAGUCAAGGUUUAUUUGUUUAUUGCAUAUGGCUAUCUAAUUGUUCCAUCUUCAUUUGUGGAAAAGAUUAUCUUUUUCCGCCUAAUUGCUUUGUCCCCUUUGUUAAAAAUCAAUUGACCACAUGUGUAGGUCUGUUUCUAUACUCAAAACUACACUGUCUUGAUUACUGCAGCUUUUUAGUGUCUUGAAAUAGGGUAAUGUAAGUCGUCCAACUUUGUUCUUUUUCAAAAUUGUUUCAGCUAUUCAGAAUCCUUUGCAUUUCCAUAUAAAUUUUAGUAUCACCUAAUUUGUAUCUUUUAAAAAGCCUACUGGGAUUUGGUUGGUAUUGCAUUGAUUCUAUAGAUGAAUCUGGGGAGAAUUCACAUCUUAACAAUAUUGAGUCUUCUCAUCUUUGAGGAUGGCAUAUCUCUUCAUUAUUUAAGUGAUUUUUAAUUUCACUCAACAACGUUUUGUAAUUUUCAGUGUACGGGUCUUGCAUCUUAAAUAUCUUUUGUCAGAUUUGUUCCUAAGUUUUUCAUAUUUUUGAUGCUAUUAUAACUGGUAUUAUUUUUGUCAAUUUCAAAUUCCAAAUGGUCAUUGCUAGUGUAUAGACAUAGAGUUAAUUUUUGCAUAUUGACUUCAUCCUGCAGCCUUGCUACUUCAUUCUUAUGGUUCACUUAUUAGUUCUAGUGGCUUUUUUGUAAGUUCCUUAGGAUUUUUCACAUCUGUGAAUAGACAGAUUUAUUUCUUCCUUCCUAAUCUAGAUGCCUUUUAUUUCUUUUUCUUGUUGUAUAGUACUGGCUAGCACUUCCAAUACAAUGUUGAAUUAAUAAGUGACAUUUCAUAAAAUUAAAAACUCUUGAUUUUCUUUUUUUUAAAGAUUUUAUUUUUCCUUUUUCUCCCCAAAGCCCCCCAGUACAUAGUUGUGUAGUUUUGGUUGUGGGUCCUUCUAGUUGUGGCAUGUGGGAUGCCGCUUCAGUAUGGUUUGAUGAGCGGCGCCAUGUCCACACCCAGGAUUCGAACUGGUGAAACCCUGGGCCGCCAGAAGUGGAGCAUGCGAACUUAACCACUGGGCCAUGGGGCCAGACCCCACUCUUGAUUUUCAAAUGACAUUGCUAAGAAAAUAAAAGCAAGAGACAAACUGGGAGAAAAUAUUUGCAAAACAUAUAUCCAACAAGGGACUUGCAUCUAGAACAUAAAAAUUCUUAAAAGUCAACAAUAAAAAGUGAAACCACUCAAUUAAAAAAAAGAGCAUAAAAUUUGAAAGACAGUUCACUGAAGAAGAUAAACAGAUGGCAAAUAAAUACAUGAAAUGAUGAUCAACAUUAUCAAUCGUUAGGGAAAUGCAAAUUAAAACUACAGUGAGAUAACAUUACAAAUUCAUUGGAAUGGCUAAAAAUUAAAAAGGUUGACAAUAUCAAGUGAUAAGAAAGUGGAGCAACUGGAACUUUCUGGGUUUUUUAUUUAUUUAUUUUUUGGUGAGGAAGAUUGUCGCUGAGCUAACAUCUAUGCCAGCCUUCCUCUAUUUGGUAUGUGGGAUGCCGCCACAGCGUGGCUUGGUGAGUGGUGUGUAGGUCUGUGCCCGAGAUCCAAACCUCUGACCCCUGGGCUGCCAAAGCAGAGCGUGUGAACUUAACCACUAUGCCACAAGGCUGGCCCCUGGAAUCUUCAUACAGUGUUCAGAAUUGUAAAAUGGUACAACCACUUUUGAAAACAGUUUGGCGGUUUCUAAAAAAGUAAAAUAUGCACCCACCGUAUGACAACAUUGCACUACGCAGUAUCUCCCGAGAGAAAUGAAAGCAUACAUCCAUGCCAAGACUUGAACAUGAAUGUUCAUAGCACAUUUAUUUGUAAUAGCCAGACUGGAAACCACGCAAUGUCCUUCAACAGGGGAUUGGAUAAACAACUUGCCGUGUAUUCAUACAGUGGAAUACUACUCAGUUAUGAAAAGGAACAAACUUGAUACAUGCAACAAAAUGGAGAAAUCUUAAUGCUGUGGAGUGAAGGAAACCAGACAAAGACUGCAUACUGUAUGAUUUCAUUUCUGGAAAAUAUAAACUAAUCUCCUGUGGUGGAAAGAUUAGUGGUUGCCUGGGAGGGGGAGGUCAGGAGAGAAGAAUCAAAAAAGGACAUGGGGAAACUUUUGGGGGUGAUAGAUGUUCAUUAUCUUGAUUGUGGUAAUGGUUUCAUGUGUGUACACAUGUCAAAACUCAUAUUGUACAUUUUUAAUAUGUGCAGUUUAUUGUGUGUCAAUUAUACCACAAUAAAGAUGUAACAAAAAAGUAAACAAGAAAAAAAUUUUUAAGAUUCAUA
This 3588-nucleotide long non-coding RNA is filed under the name Equus asinus (donkey). Its description in RNAcentral is "lncRNA (ENSEASG00005028114.1)". Lineage: Eukaryota; Metazoa; Chordata; Mammalia; Perissodactyla; Equidae. The record is from RNAcentral.